GAUGAACGCUGGCGGCGUGCCUAAUACAUGCAAGUCGAGCAAACGGACGAGAAGCUUGCUUCUCUGAUGUUAGCGGCGGACGGGUGAGUAACACGUGGAUAACCUACCUAUAAGACUGGGAUAACUUCGGGAAACCGUAGCUAAUACCGGAUAAUAUUUUGAACCGCAUGGUUCAAAAGUGAAAGACGGUCUUGCUGUCACUUAUAGAUGGAUCCGCGCCGCAUUAGCUAGUUGGUAAGGUAACGGCUUACCAAGGCAACGAUGCAUAGCCGACCUGAGAGGGUGAUCGGCCACACUGGAACUGAGACACGGUCCAGACUCCUACGGGAGGCAGCAGUAGGGAAUCUUCCGCAAAGGGCGAAAGCCUGACGGAGCAACGCCGCGUGAGUGAUGAAGGUCUUCGGAUCGUAAAACUCUGUUAUUAGGGAAGAGCAUAUGUGUAAGUAACUGUGCACAUCUUGACGGUACCUAAUCAGAAAGCCACGGCUAACUACGUG
Molecule: ribosomal RNA, 497 nt
Filed under: uncultured bacterium
Lineage: Bacteria
Description: partial 16S ribosomal RNA
Rfam family: Bacterial small subunit ribosomal RNA
Source: RNAcentral